Molecule: ribosomal RNA, 698 nt
Filed under: uncultured bacterium
Lineage: Bacteria
Description: bacterial SSU rRNA
Rfam family: Bacterial small subunit ribosomal RNA
Source: RNAcentral
GAGUUUGAUCAUGGCUCAGAACGAACGCUGGCGGCGUGCCUAACACAUGCAAGUCGAACGGAUUUAUUAGGAAGUAGCAAUACGGAAUAAUAAGUUAGUGGCGGACGGGUGAGUAACACGUAGGUAACCAACCCUCAAGCGGGGGACAACCCAGGGAAACUUGGGCUAAUACCGCAUAAGACCACGGUCUGGAAUGGCUGAGGUAAAAGGAGCAAUUCACUUGAGGAUGGGCCUGCGGCCUAUCAGGUAGUUGGCGGGGUAAUGGCCCACCAAGCCUAAGACGGGUAGCCGGACUGAGAGGUUGAACGGCCACACUGGAACUGAGACACGGUCCAGACUCCUACGGGAGGCAGCAGUGGGGAAUUUCGCGCAAUGGGCGAAAGCCUGACGCAGCGACGCCGCGUGGAGGAUGAAGGUCUUCGGAUUGUAAACUCCUUUUAUAGGGGAAAAUAAUGAUGGUACCCUAUGAAUAAGCCACGGCUAACUCUGUGCCAGCAGCCGCGGUAAGACAGAGGUGGCAAGCGUUGUUCGGAAUUACUGGGCUUAAAGGGCGCGUAGGUGGUGAUAUAAGUCCGAGGUGGAAGACUGGGGCUUAACCUCGGAAUUGCCUUGGAAACUGUAUGACUUGAGUCAGCGAGGGGAUGGCGGAAUUCCAGGUGUAGCGGUGAAAUGCGUAGAUAUCUGGAGGAAGGCCGGUG